GGGCCCGUGGUCUAGCCCGGUCUAGGAUACCCGCCUGACACGCGGGGGGUCCCCGGUUCAAAUCCGGGCGGGCCCA
This 76-nucleotide transfer RNA is filed under the name Thermoprotei archaeon. RNAcentral's name for it is "tRNA-Val". It matches the Rfam family "tRNA". From Rfam's summary of the family: Transfer RNA (tRNA) molecules are approximately 80 nucleotides in length. Their secondary structure includes four short double-helical elements and three loops (D, anti-codon, and T loops). The record is from RNAcentral. Lineage: Archaea; Thermoproteati; Thermoproteota; Thermoprotei.